Molecule: ribosomal RNA, 261 nt
Filed under: uncultured archaeon
Lineage: Archaea
Description: partial 16S ribosomal RNA
Rfam family: Archaeal small subunit ribosomal RNA
Source: RNAcentral
CAGCCGUAAACUAUGCGCGUUAGGUGUAUCGGUGACCACGAGUCACCGAGGUGCCGAAGGGAAACCGUGAAACGUGCCGCCUGGGAAGUACGGUCGCAAGGCUGAAACUUAAAGGAAUUGGCGGGGGAGCACAACAACGGGUGGAGCCUGCGGUUUAAUUGGACUCAACGCCGGGAAGCUCACCGGAUAAGACAGCGGAAUGAUUGCCGGGCUGAAGACUCUGCAUGACUAGCUGAGAGGAGGUGCAUGGCGUAGACGUCU